GCCAGUUAUUUGAUAUUUUUGCAAAGGAUCACUUACAAUAAGGGGUUUUAUAUGCUGAAUUCACUAUAAGCCUUAAAGGCCAUUUAUUAGUCAAGAUUUAAAGAGUACAGACAUGACAAACGGUUGUUAUUUGUGUAAACUAUAUCUAUAUAGCUUUAAUGUGCCUUUAAUAUGUCUUAUGUUAGGCUCUGGUUUGCUAACAUUUAGCUUUGUAGUAUACAAUUUAAUUUCUUUAGAAACCACAAUCAGUUUUUUUGGCAAGAUUAAAGUAUAGGGGAUAAAAUGAAUAUCUGAGUAUUCAUGGAAUACAAACCACAAAUUU
This 322-nucleotide long non-coding RNA is filed under the name Mytilus galloprovincialis (Mediterranean mussel). Lineage: Eukaryota; Metazoa; Mollusca; Bivalvia; Mytilida; Mytilidae. The record is from RNAcentral.